UUAAAAUUUUAAUUAUUUUGGCAGAUUAGUGCAAUGAAUUUAGAAUUCAUUUAUGUAAAUUAUUUACAAAUAAUAC
RNAcentral lists this transfer RNA (76 nucleotides) under Carabus steuartii. Its description in RNAcentral is "tRNA-Leu". The record is from RNAcentral. Lineage: Eukaryota; Metazoa; Arthropoda; Insecta; Coleoptera; Carabidae.